CUACGGAACUCCUACGGGAGGCAGCAGUGGGGAAUAUUGCACAAUGGGCGCAAGCCUGAUGCAGCGACGCCGCGUGGGGGAUGAAGGCCUUCGGGUUGUAAACUCCUUUCGCUAGGGACGAAGCUUUGUGUGACGGUACCUAGAUAAGAAGCACCGGCUAACUACGUGCCAGCAGCCGCGGUAAUACGUAGGGUGCGAGCGUUGUCCGGAAUUACUGGGCGUAAAGGGCUCGUAGGUGGUUUGUCGCGUCGUCUGUGAAAUUCUGGGGCUUAACUCCGGGCGUGCAGGCGAUACGGGCAUAACUUGAGUGCUGUAGGGGUAACUGGAAUUCCUGGUGUAGCGGUGAAAUGCGCAGAUAUCAGGAGGAACACCGAUGGCGAAGGCAGGUUACUGGGCAGUUACUGACGCUGAGGAGCGAAAGCAUGGGUAGCGAACAGGAUUAGAUACCCUGGUAGUCCUCUUCGA
This 465-nucleotide ribosomal RNA is filed under the name uncultured bacterium. Its description in RNAcentral is "bacterial SSU rRNA". It matches the Rfam family "Bacterial small subunit ribosomal RNA", at positions 328 to 803 of the family's 1533-position model. The record is from RNAcentral.